This is a non-coding RNA of Schistosoma haematobium, 78 nucleotides long. The record is from Rfam. NCBI's taxonomy places the organism in Eukaryota, Metazoa, Platyhelminthes, Trematoda, Strigeidida, Schistosomatidae.
AGCUUUCUGAAUGCGUGCUGAGAUUUCGUCAGACACUGACCGAUUACGGCUGAUGAGACUUCCAAGAUAAGUGAAGUU